GGCUCAGAAUGAACGCCGGCGGCGUGCCUAACACAUGCAAGUCGGAUGUGCCCGCAAGGGUGCAUGGCAGACGGGUGAGUAACGCGUGGGGAACCUACCUCUUUGUGUGAAUAACGUUCCGAAAGGAAUGGUAAUACCGCAUGAGACCGUUGGCUGGGAUGCCGGCGGUGAAACCCGGGGACCGCAAGGCCUGGGGCAAGGAGAGGGUCCUGCGUCUGAUUAGCUAGUUGGCGGGGUAACGGCCCACCAAGGCGUCGAUCAGUAGCCGGCCUGAGAGGGUGAUCGGCCACACUGGAACUGAGACACGGUCCAGACUCCUACGGGAGGCAGCAGUGGGGAAUUUUGCGCAAUGGGCGAAAGCCUGACGCAGCAACGCCGCGUGGGUGAUGAAGGUCUUCGGAUCGUAAAACCCUGUCGUCAGGGACGAAGGUUGCAUGUCUAAUAGAUGUGUAACUUGACGGUACCUGGAGAGGAAGCCCCGGCUAACUCUGUGCCAGCAGCCGCGGUAAUACAGAGGGGGCAAGCGUUAUUCGGAAUUAUUGGGCGUAAAGGGCGCGUAGGCGGUGUCUUAAGUGAGAUGUGUAAUCCCCGAGCUUAACUUGGGAACUGCAUCUCAGACUGGGGCGCUAGAGUGCUGGAGAGGGUGGUAGAAUUCCACGUGUAGCGGUGAAAUGCGUAGAGAUGUGGAGGAAUGCCAGUGGCGAAGGCGGCCACCUGGACAGUAACUGACGCUGAGGCGCGAAAGUGUGGGGAGCAAACAGGAUUAGAUACCCUGGUAGUCCACGCUGUAAACGAUGAACACUUGGUGUGGUGGGAGUUGACCCCCGCCGUGCCGUAGCUAACGCGAUAAGUGUUCCGCCUGGGGAGUACGGUCGCAAGGCUGAA
This 885-nucleotide ribosomal RNA is filed under the name uncultured bacterium. Its description in RNAcentral is "bacterial SSU rRNA". It matches the Rfam family "Bacterial small subunit ribosomal RNA", at positions 21 to 898 of the family's 1533-position model. The record is from RNAcentral.